This 544-nucleotide long non-coding RNA is filed under the name Marmota monax (woodchuck). The record is from RNAcentral. Lineage: Eukaryota; Metazoa; Chordata; Mammalia; Rodentia; Sciuridae.
AAUUGCAUUGACCUCAACUAAUUUAAAAAUGCUGAUUUUUAUUUCUGCAUCUGUUGAAUAUUUUUCACAAUUUAAAACUGGUCAGUUUUGAAGGUAAAAUGUCAAGUCUUAAAAUGAGAAAGGCAACUAUGAGAAAAAGCCAAAACUAUAAAUCAAGCAUUUGGGAAAUGAAAACUGGAAGUGCAGCUUGUGAAUUUAAUUCACACAAACUUUUGUACUUUUUCUGUACAUAUAUAGUUUUUAAACUAUGGAUCAGAAAUACCACAUUUGGAACACUUUCUGUUAUUAGUUAAUAUUUUUAAGUAGUUAGAACCUGAUCUUAAGCCUAAAAACAGUCUUGAUCCUCUAAAUCUUUUAUAACUGCUUUGAUACACAGAAAUCUUUUAAAAAGGAGACACUCCCUGAAAUCUUUUGUUCACAAUGGUCAUACAAUGAUGCUUACAUGUUGCAGUAUCUAAUAUGACCACAGUAGUCUCAAUAACCCAAAUCAUUUUUUUUUUUGCCUUCAGAAACCUACACAGGAACAACCAGAUCAAACAGAUCU